Molecule: ribosomal RNA, 468 nt
Filed under: uncultured bacterium
Lineage: Bacteria
Description: partial 16S ribosomal RNA
Rfam family: Bacterial small subunit ribosomal RNA
Source: RNAcentral
GACGAACGCUGGCGGCGUGCUUAACACAUGCAAGUCGAACGGAAAGGCCCUGCUUUUGUGGGGUGCUCGAGUGGCGAACGGGUGAGUAACACGUGAGUAACCUGCCCUUGACUUUGGGAUAACUUCAGGAAACUGGGGCUAAUACCGGAUAGGAGCUCCUGCUGCAUGGUGGGGGUUGGAAAGUUUCGGCGGUUGGGGAUGGACUCGCGGCUUAUCAGCUUGUUGGUGGGGUAGUGGCUUACCAAGGCUUUGACGGGUAGCCGGCCUGAGAGGGUGACCGGCCACAUUGGGACUGAGAUACGGCCCAGACUAGUACGGGAGGCAGCAGUGGGGAAGAUUGCACAAUGGGCGGAAGCCUGAUGCAGCAACGCCGCGUGCGGGAUGACGGCCUUCGGGUUGUAAACCGCUUUCGCCUGUGACGAAGCGUGAGUGAAGGUAAUGGGUAAAGAAGCACCGGCUAACUACGUG